This 490-nucleotide ribosomal RNA is filed under the name uncultured bacterium. Its description in RNAcentral is "partial 16S ribosomal RNA". It matches the Rfam family "Bacterial small subunit ribosomal RNA", at positions 30 to 507 of the family's 1533-position model. The record is from RNAcentral.
AUUGAACGCUGGCGGUAGGCUUUACACAUGCAAGUCGGACGGCAGCACAGAGAAGCUUGCUUCUUGGGUGGCGAGUGGCGAACGGGUGAGUAACAUACCGGAACGUACCGAGCAGUGGGGGAGAACUAAUCGAAAGACUAGCGAAAACCGCAUAUCUUAUGAGGAAGAAAGCAGGGGACCACUUGGCCUUGCGCGGGUUGAGCGGCCGAGAUCUGAUUAGCUAGUUGGUGGGGUAAAGGCCCACCAAGGCGACGAUCCGUAGCGGGUCUGAGAGGAUGAUCCGCCACACUGGAACUGAGACACGGCCCAGACUCCUACGGGAGGCAGCAGUGGGGAAUUUUGGACAAUGGGCGCAAGCCUGAUCCAGCCAUGCCGCGUGUGUGAAGAAGGCCUUCGGGUUGUAAAGGCCUUUUGUCAGGGAAGAAAAGGGCGGGGUUAAUACCCCUGUCUGAUGACGGUACCUAAAGAAUAAGCACCGGCUAACUACGUG